Molecule: ribosomal RNA, 401 nt
Filed under: uncultured bacterium
Lineage: Bacteria
Description: bacterial SSU rRNA
Rfam family: Bacterial small subunit ribosomal RNA
Source: RNAcentral
UUAGGAAUCUUCCGCAAUGGGCGAAAGCCUGACGGAGCGAUACCGCUUGAAGGACGAAGCCCUUCGGGGUGUAAACUUCUGAACUCGGGACGAUAAUGACGGUACCGAGGUAAUAGCACCGGCUAACUCCGUGCCAGCAGCCGCGGUAAUACGGAGGGUGCGAGCGUUACCCGGAUUUACUGGGUGUAAAGGGCGUGUAGGCGGUCUCUCAAGUCCGAUGCUAAAGACCGAAGCUCAACUUCGGGGGUGCGUUGGAUACUGUGAGGCUAGACGGUCGGAGAGGGUAGCGGAAUUUCCGGAGUAGCGGUGAAAUGCGCAGAUACCGGAAGGAACGCCGAUAGCGAAAGCAGCUACCUGGACGAUUUGUGACGCUGAGGCGCGAAAGCGUGGGGAGCAAACCG